This 886-nucleotide ribosomal RNA is filed under the name uncultured bacterium. RNAcentral's name for it is "bacterial SSU rRNA". It matches the Rfam family "Bacterial small subunit ribosomal RNA", at positions 207 to 1120 of the family's 1533-position model. The record is from RNAcentral.
AAAACUUUUCGCUAAAAGAUGAGCCUGUGAAGGAUUAGGUUGUUGGUGUGGGUAAAAGCCUACCAAGCCUAUGAUCCUUAGCUGUUCUGAGAGGAAGUACAGCCACACUGGGACUGAGACAAGGCCCAGGCUCCAAAUGGAGCCAGCAGUGAGGAAUUUUGGACAAUGAGCGAAAGCUUGAUCCAGCAAUACUACAUGAGUGAUGAAGGCUUUCAAGUUGUAAAACUCUUUGGUUGAGGAGGAUAAUGACAGUACUCAACAAAAUAGCCCCGGCUAACUUCGUGCCAGCAGCCGCGGUAAGACGAAGGGGGCGAGCGUUAUCCGGAAUGACUGGGCGUAAAGGGUCCGUAGGCAGCAUUUUUUGUUAAUUGUGAAAUAAAAAAGCCCAACUUUUUUUAGCUUUUAAUACGUUAAUGCUUUGAGUUUGAGAGGGGAUAGCAGAAUUUCACAUGGAGGGGUGAUAUCCGUAGAUAUGUGAAGGAAUAACCGGAGGGGAAGGCGGCUAUUUGGUUCAAUACUGACGUUGAGGGACGAAAGCAUGGGGAGCAAACAGGAUUAGAUACCCUGGUAGUCCAUGCCCUAAAAGAUGAGUGCUCGUGCUUAGAGAUUUUUAGGCACUUAGUUAACACGUUAAGCACUCCGCCUGGGGAGUACGACCGCAAGGUUGGAACUCAAAGGAAUUGACGGGGGCCUAUACAAGUGGUGGAGCAUGUGGUUUAAUGCGACAAUACGCGCGAAACCUUACCAGUUCUUGACAUAUAGAUGAAAAAGUCCGAAAAGAUUUUUUUUAAGAUUUUUACAGGUGCUGCAUGGCUGUCGUCAGCUCGUGUCGUGAGAUGUUAGGUUAACUCCUUUUAACGGGCGAAACCCCCGUUUCUAGUUGCCA